This 704-nucleotide ribosomal RNA is filed under the name uncultured bacterium. RNAcentral's name for it is "bacterial SSU rRNA". It matches the Rfam family "Bacterial small subunit ribosomal RNA", at positions 195 to 917 of the family's 1533-position model. The record is from RNAcentral.
AUAUUGGGAAAGCGCGCAGCGCUCUGAGAUGAGUCCAUGCCUGAUUAGCUAGUUGGUGGGGUAAAAGCCUACCAAGGCGACGAUCAGUAGCUGGUCUUAGAGGAUGAUCAGCCACACUGGAACUGAGACACGGUCCAGACUCCUACGGGAGGCAGCAGUGGGGAAUCUUGCACAAUGGGGGCAACCCUGAUGCAGCCAUGCCGCGUGCGCGAUGACGGUCUUCGGAUUGUAAAGCGCUUUUGGCGGGGACGACGAUGACGGUACCCGCAGAAGAAGUCACGGCUAACUUCGUGCCAGCAGCCGCGGUAAUACGAAGGUGGCGAAUGUUGUUCGGAUUUACUGGGCGUAAAGCGUCCGCAGGUUGUUUAUUAAGUCAGGUGUGAAAGCCCCGCGCUCAACGUGGGAAUUGCAUUUGAAACUGGUGAACUUGAAGGCGAGAGAGGAGGGCGGAAUUACCGGUGUAGAAGUGAAAUUCGUAGAUAUCGGUAGGAACACCCAUGGCGAAGGCAGCUCUCUGGCUCGCACUUGACACUCAUGGACGACAGCGUGGGGAUCAAACAGGAUUAGAUACCCUGGUAGUCCACGCCGUAAACGAUGCAUGCUCGCUGUCGGGUCCGCUACAGGACUCGGUGGCUCAGCUAACGCGGUAAGCAUGCCGCCUGGGGAGUACGGCCGCAAGGUUAAAACUUAAAGGAAUUGACGGA